GGACUGAAGUCUUGUUGUAUUUAUUUAAGAUAUAAGAUGGCGAAUACAUCCAAUACCAAUUACAAAUCCAAUACCAAUAUCGUACGGAUUCUCUCUAGAAGGUGAAACUUUGUUGAAAAAGACAAAGUCACAAUCACACGUCUACUCGUGUUAAUCUAAAAAUUCAGCUGAAUCUACAACCUGAAAGGUGAGACAAAAUCAUAAUUCAGAGAGAGAUCAACAACACUACCCAAAAAAAAUAAAAAAAAAUGUACGUAGAUCACGCAUUCUCGAUUUCCGAUGAGGACAUGAUGAUGGAAACAUCCUAUACCGCCAACAACAAACCACCGAUCAAGGANNN
RNAcentral lists this long non-coding RNA (340 nucleotides) under Trifolium pratense (red clover). RNAcentral describes it as "long non-coding RNA (TPRA_LNC001081)". Lineage: Eukaryota; Viridiplantae; Streptophyta; Magnoliopsida; Fabales; Fabaceae. The record is from RNAcentral.